This 336-nucleotide unclassified non-coding RNA is filed under the name soil metagenome. Its description in RNAcentral is "partial contains 5.8S ribosomal RNA, internal transcribed spacer 2, and large subunit ribosomal RNA". The stretch from base 1 to 120 matches the Rfam family "5.8S ribosomal RNA", at positions 35 to 154 of the family's 154-position model. The record is from RNAcentral.
GAUGAAGAACGUAGCGAAAUGCGAUAAGUAAUGUGAAUUGCAGAAUUCAGUGAAUCAUCGAAUCUUUGAACGCACAUUGCGCCCGCCAGUAUUCUGGCGGGCAUGCCUGUUCGAGCGUCAUUUCAACCAUCAAGCCCCCGGCUUGUGUUGGGGACCUGCGGCUGCCGCAGGCCCUGAAAAGCAGUGGCAGGCUCGCUGUCACACCGAGCGUAGUAGCAUACAUCUCGCUCUGGGCGUGCUGCGGGUUCCGGCCGUUAAACCACCUUCAUAACCCAAGGUUGACCUCGGAUCAGGUAGGAAGACCCGCUGAACUUAAGCAUAUCAAUAAGCGGAGGA